RNAcentral lists this ribosomal RNA (492 nucleotides) under uncultured Anaerolineaceae bacterium. Its description in RNAcentral is "bacterial SSU rRNA". It matches the Rfam family "Bacterial small subunit ribosomal RNA", at positions 903 to 1382 of the family's 1533-position model. The record is from RNAcentral. Lineage: Bacteria; Bacillati; Chloroflexota; Anaerolineae; Anaerolineales; Anaerolineaceae.
GCCGUUCGCCACGCCCGCUCAGAACUCAAUGCAGUUGACGGGCCCCGCACAAGCAGCGGAGCGUGUGGUUUAAUUCGAUGCUACACGAAGAACCUUACCAGGUUUGACAUACAAGUAGUAGGGAAAGGAAACUGGACCGACCCUUCGGGAGCUUGAACAGGUGCUGCAUGGCUGUCGUCAGCUCGUGUCGUGAGAUGUUCGGUUAAGUCCGCUAACGAGCGCAACCCUCGCUGUGUGUUACAAGUGUCACACGGAACUGCCGGUCAUAAACCGGAGGAAGGUGGGGAUGACGUCAAGUCAGCAUGGCCUUUAUAUCCUGGGCUACACACACGCUACAAUGGGAAGGGACAAUAGGUUGCGAAGCCGCGAGGCGGAGCCAAUCCAGCAAAACUUCCCUCAGUUCAGAUUGCAGGCUGCAACUCGCCUGCAUGAAGUUGGAGUUGCUAGUAAACGCAGGUCAGCCAUACUGCGUUGAAUACGUUCCCGGGGCUU